UAAGAAGAAUUGGUGUUGGAAGGUGGUGUUGGAAGGUGGUGCUAUUUUAUAGGCCGUAACUUCCCCCGCGGGCAAAUGCAAUAAAUACAGCAGAAGGCAGUCGACACCGUUCUCAACCGACAACCAGUCAACCUUCACUCCUUCUCCCUCCUCUCGUGGCUCCGAGGCCAAGGCACCGCGGAAGCAAGCGGCUCAAGCAAUGCACAAGGUCGGACAUUCCGGACGAAUCAACGCCGACCGCGAAACACUCUUCGUCACCUGGGCAACAAACCUCUCCAGUUGUUCGUCAAGGAAAAUGCCUACAUGCCUCAGUAUCUUCAAGACUUUCGAUCCCUCGUGCGAUUCAAGCACCAAAACGUCUUGACAAAAUUGCUUGUGCAAGAAUCGCACGAUUCUUCCCUAAGUCGCAAGUCUUGCGAUUCAGAUCCGAUUCGUGCGAUUGUCACUGCGAUUCAAGCACCAAAUUGUCUUCACAAAGCUGCUUAAUAAAGAAUCAUACGAUUUUUCUCUAAGUCGCGAUUCUUGCGAUUCAGAUCCGAUUCAUUCUCUUUGGGGUUUAUUAUUGUAUACACCCGGAUGCUGUCUGUUCUCAUAUCAUUAUAUAAUUUGUUAGAGGGUUUUUUGUUUGAACAUCUUUAUUCGUUAGAACUUGUAGUCUUGAUAUGCAUACCAAUAUUGUCUUUCCUUGUUUGUGGUUAUUUUUUCCAUCCUUUUCCAAGUGUUGAUGUUAUUGGUUAAUCAAGGGUUCUAUUACAAGAAUAAAGCAAUGUGUCUCAUUUUUGCAGAACACUAGCAGGCCAGUCUCUAAAACCAUAGCAAACCAGAAUUUGGGCCUUCUAUUUAUCUGUGUUAACAACUAUAAAUCCUAAAGAUGUUUCCAUUAUUGCAAGUAUAGGCGGGAUGAAUAUGAGGCAGGAUCACCCACCUUUGUGUGGAAGAGACCACAUUGAUUUUGAUACCAUGGCAGUUAUAGACAAGUUUGGGAAUAUCUAUUUUGUGUGGUUGCCAUAAUCUGGAGAUGCAUAUGAGGCAGGAUCACCCACCUUUGUGUGGAAGAGACCACAUGGCCUAUAGAUCUGGUUAUUUUCAUGAUAAGAUUGAUUCAACCACUGCAAAAGCUUGCAGAAAGUCGCGGUAUUGCUUUAUUUGCAAUUGACGAGGUACAUUGUGUUUCUAAAUGGGGUCAUGAUUUCCGUCCAGAUUACAGCUGACCGUAUGUGCUGCGGGAAAAUUUCAGUGCUAGAAAGCUAAAAUCCCUAAAAUUUGAUAUACCUCUGAUGGCCUUGACAGCUACGGCUACAAAAGGAGUUCAAUAAGUCAUUUGAAAAUCACUAUGCAUGUCAAAAGAAACGAAUGUUUUUCUUACAUCAUUUUUUCAAUCUAAUUUACGCUUCUUGGUAAAGGAUAGUCGAACAUCAAAGGCUUCUUAUGCAAAAGACUUUUGUGAAUUGAUUGAAGUAUAUGGUAGAAAGCAAAAUAUUGAUGGAAAUGAAACGGCUUUCAUGUCAAAUGAUUCAGAUUGUGUUUCUCAUGGCUCCGAUGCUUGUAGUAGCUCUGAUACAGACAAUGUUUCUCAUGAUGACGUGGAUGACAACCGAGAUUAAUAUGCUUACAAAGAUGAUUUUUUAAUGGGACGAGAAUUGUCGGUUGAGUUCCUGGAAAAUGAUAUGGAUGUUGUUCAAAAUUUACCCAUGGUGAAAAGCCUCCUCACAUGGGAUUGGAAUUACCUGAGGCAAUUGAUCCACCUAAGAAACCAGAAGGAAGACUUAAAUUUCUUAAAGAGCCUUUGGAACACAGACCAGCUAUCAUAUAUGUAUCCACCAGAAAAGAAACUUUGAGAAUUGCGAAGUAUCUAUGCAAGUUUGGUGUGAAGUCUGCUGCUUAUAAUGCAGGGCUUCCCAAAUUGAAUCUAAGAAGGGUUCAUAAAGGGUUUCAUGAAAAUACUUUAGAGGUAUGCUUCUGGGGCCUGAACUAAAUAUUGUGGAUGUUCCACGGGAGAGGGGUUCAAAGAGGGGCUAAAGUUUUUUAUUUGAAUUGAGAUGUCCAGUUAUCAGAUAUGUAUGAUAUCAUUGCAUCUUCUUAUACAUGUGGUGUGCUAUUCACAUAAUUACUAUAUAAAUGAAUGGACUUUUUAUCUGAUUUUGAUGA
Cajanus cajan (pigeon pea) is the source of this 2148-nucleotide non-coding RNA. NCBI's taxonomy places the organism in Eukaryota, Viridiplantae, Streptophyta, Magnoliopsida, Fabales, Fabaceae. The record is from RefSeq and is a predicted model, not a curated record.